GGAGGUCAGUACCAAAACACCUGCUAAGCCUGUAGAAGCUCCCUUGCCGGGCUGUCCUCGGACGGGAGUUCGAUUCUCCCCGCCUCCACCA
This 91-nucleotide transfer RNA is filed under the name Hydrogenobacter thermophilus TK-6. Its description in RNAcentral is "tRNA-Und (NNN) (tRNA-Und-NNN-1-1)". It matches the Rfam family "transfer-messenger RNA", at positions 285 to 374 of the family's 374-position model. From Rfam's summary of the family: Bacterial tmRNA, also known as 10Sa RNA or SsrA, is named for its dual tRNA and mRNA-like properties. Its role is to liberate the mRNA from a stalled ribosome. Lineage: Bacteria; Pseudomonadati; Aquificota; Aquificia; Aquificales; Aquificaceae. The record is from RNAcentral.